GCUUACGGCCACACCGCCUGGUUCAUGCCCGAUCUCGGAAGCUAAGAUAGGUUGGGCCUGGUUAGUACUUGGAUGGGAGACCGCCUGGGAAUACCAGGUGCUGUAAGCU
RNAcentral lists this ribosomal RNA (109 nucleotides) under Scophthalmus maximus (turbot). The record is from RNAcentral. Lineage: Eukaryota; Metazoa; Chordata; Actinopteri; Pleuronectiformes; Scophthalmidae.